This 796-nucleotide non-coding RNA is filed under the name Leucoma chrysoscela. The record is from RNAcentral. Lineage: Eukaryota; Metazoa; Arthropoda; Insecta; Lepidoptera; Erebidae.
AAAAAAAAUUAUUGUAGUUUAAAAAUUUAUUUAAAAAUUUAUUUUACAUAUAAAUUGUAGUAUUUUAAUUAUUUUAAAAAUAAUAUAAAUAAUUAUUAAAGUAGUAAUUAAUAUUAAAUAUUUAAGAAAUUAAGAUUUAGUUAUAUUUAAAUUAAUAACUAAUUUUGUGCCAGCAGUUGCGGUUAAACAAAAGUUAAAUUAAAUUUUAUUAGUAAUUAAUAAAUUAAAAUGUAAUAAAUUAUAAAUAUUAAAUUUUUAGGUGAAAUUUUAAUUUAAUAAAAUAUUAUUGAAUUUUUAUGAUUUAAUAAAUUAAAAAAAAACUAGGAUUAGAUACCCUAUUAUUAAAAUUUAAAUUUUAUAUGCUAAAAUAGUAAAUGAUUAUUUAUUGAAACUUAAAUAAGUUGGCGGUAUUUUAGUUCAUUUAGAGGAAUCUGUUUAAUAAUUGAUAAUCCACGAUUAAAUUUACUUAAUUUUUUUUUAUUUUGUAUAUCGUUGUUAAAAAAAUAUUUUUUAAUAAUAAUAAUAUUUAAAUUUUUAAAUAAAAAAUUAAAUCAGAUCAAGAUGCAGGUUAUAAUUAAGAAUAUAAUGGAUUACAAUAAAGUUAUUUAAAUGAAUAUUAAUUUGAAAAAAUUAAUUGAAAGUGGAUUUAAAUGUAAUUUUAAUUAAUUUAUUAAAAUGAUUAAAAAUUAAAAUAUGUACAUAUUGCCCGUCGCUUUCAUAUAUUUAAAUUAUAAUAAUUUUAAAUUGAAAUAAGUCGUAACAAAGUAGGGAUACUGGAAAGUGUUUCUAGAAAGAA